UGGGGAAUUUUGGACAAUGGGCGAAAGCCUGAUCCAGCAAUGCCGCGUGUGUGAAGAAGGCCUUCGGGUUGUAAAGCACUUUUGUCCGGAAAGAAAUCCUUGGCUCUAAUACAGUCGGGGGAUGACGGUACCGGAAGAAUAAGCACCGGCUAACUACGUGCCAGCAGCCGCGGUAAUACGUAGGGUGCAAGCGUUAAUCGGAAUUACUGGGCGUAAAGCGUGCGCAGGCGGUUUGCUAAGACCGAUGUGAAAUCCCCGGGCUCAACCUGGGAACUGCAUUGGUGACUGGCAGGCUAGAGUAUGGCAGAGGGGGGUAGAAUUCCACGUGUAGCAGUGAAAUGCGUAGAGAUGUGGAGGAAUACCGAUGGCGAAGGCGACGCCCCCUGGGCCAAUACUGACGCUCAUGCACGAAAGCGUGGGGGAGCAAAACAGGAUUAGAUACCCUGGUAGUCCACGCCCUAAACGAUGUCAACUAGUUGUUGGGGAUUCAUUUCCUUAGUAACGUAGCUAACGCGUGAAGUUGACCGCCUGGGGAGUACGGUCGCAAGAUUAAAACUUAAAUGAAUUGACGGGGUCAUAGCUGUUUCCU
This 589-nucleotide ribosomal RNA is filed under the name uncultured bacterium. RNAcentral's name for it is "partial 16S ribosomal RNA". It matches the Rfam family "Bacterial small subunit ribosomal RNA", at positions 355 to 1375 of the family's 1533-position model. The record is from RNAcentral.